AGAGUUUGAUCCUGGCUCAGAAUCAACGCUGGCGGCGUGCCUCAGACAUGCAAGUCGAACGAUUGAAGCUCCCUUCGGGGAGUGCAUAGAGUGGCGCACGGGUGAGUAACACGUAAGUAAUCUACCUUCGAGUGGGGAAUAACGUCCGGAAACGGACGCUAAUACCGCAUAAUGCAGCGGCAUCGCAAGAUGACAGCUGUUAAAGAUUUAUCGCUUGAAGAGGAGCUUGCGGCAGAUUAGCUUGUUGGUAAGGUAAUGGCUUACCAAGGCUACGAUCUGUAACCGGUCUAAGAGGACGGUCGGUCACACUGACACUGAAUAACGGGUCAGACUCCUACGGGAGGCAGC
This 348-nucleotide ribosomal RNA is filed under the name uncultured soil bacterium. RNAcentral's name for it is "bacterial SSU rRNA". It matches the Rfam family "Bacterial small subunit ribosomal RNA", at positions 8 to 352 of the family's 1533-position model. The record is from RNAcentral.